RNAcentral lists this ribosomal RNA (252 nucleotides) under uncultured Acidobacteriota bacterium. RNAcentral's name for it is "uncultured Acidobacteria bacterium partial 16S ribosomal RNA". It matches the Rfam family "Bacterial small subunit ribosomal RNA", at positions 1127 to 1376 of the family's 1533-position model. Lineage: Bacteria; Pseudomonadati; Acidobacteriota. The record is from RNAcentral.
UUAGUUGGGCACUCUAGCGGAACUGCCGGUGACAAACCGGAGGAAGGUGGGGAUGACGUCAAGUCAUCAUGGCCUCUAUGUCCAGGGCUACACACGUGCUACAAUGGCCGGUACAAAACGCUGCUAACUCGCGAGAGGGAGCCAAUCGGAAAAAGCCGGUCUCAGUUCGGAUUGGAGUCUCUGCUCUGAAACUCCAUGAAGUUGGAAUCGCUAGUAAUCGCAGAUCAGCACGCUGCGGUGAAUACGUUCCCG